Molecule: long non-coding RNA, 223 nt
Filed under: Mytilus galloprovincialis (Mediterranean mussel)
Lineage: Eukaryota; Metazoa; Mollusca; Bivalvia; Mytilida; Mytilidae
Source: RNAcentral
ACCAAGGACCUCAAAUCUGAAGACCCUAGGUCUCUAUCACUUAUGGUUUACCAGUUGGAAAUGGAUAUCACUUAAUUAAAUGGAAAAGGGGGAAUAACUCUCAUAUGGAGUCUCCGUAAAGCUUCGGUCCAAAUGAAUAACCUAAUCCUGAAGAUGUAAGGAGCAAUUUGGUAAAAUAAAUUUGUCGCAAUCUUUAACGGUUGCAAAGGAGUAGUGGCCAGAA